CACGCUGUAAACGAUGAGUACUAGACUAGGUGGGAUUUGACCCCUGCCGAGUCGGAGCUAACGCAAUAAGUACUCCGCCUGGGAAGUACGGUCGCAAGACUAAAACUCAAAGGAAUUGACGGGGGCCCGCACAAGCGGUGGAUCAUGUGGUUUAAUUCGAAGCAACGCGCAAAACCUUACCUAGGUUUGACAUCCUCUGACAAUCGUAGAAAUACGACUUUUGUAGCAAUACAACAGAGAGACAGGUGC
RNAcentral lists this ribosomal RNA (249 nucleotides) under uncultured bacterium. RNAcentral describes it as "partial 16S ribosomal RNA". It matches the Rfam family "Bacterial small subunit ribosomal RNA", at positions 796 to 1041 of the family's 1533-position model. The record is from RNAcentral.